Caerostris darwini is the source of this 72-nucleotide non-coding RNA. Lineage: Eukaryota; Metazoa; Arthropoda; Arachnida; Araneae; Araneidae. The record is from the annotation of a GenBank genome assembly.
UCUCAUGUGGUCUACUGGUUAGGAUUCCUGGUUUUCACCCAGGCUGCUCGGGUUCGAUUCCCGGCAUGGUAA